AAAUGAAUGGAUUCAAUCGUUACUAGGAUGGUAGCGACAAAGGAUUGAAAUGGACACCUCUGGAUGAGGCAUGGAACAAACAUCAGGAUGAUGUAAAGGACACCGCUCACGGACCAAGUGAAGUGAACUAACUAGGAUAGUUAGUUGUCAGGAAGACUAGGACACCGCUAGGAUAGCGAAGAACGGAAUAAGCUAAAGGAUUUGGCAACUAUCAAGGAUUUGAUGCAUGGAGCAUCUUUAGUAGCCGGAUUGCUGCGAGUAAGACUAUAGCCCCGAUACGCAAGUAUCGGGGCUUUUCUUAUUG
RNAcentral lists this non-coding RNA (304 nucleotides) under Vibrio tapetis subsp. tapetis. Lineage: Bacteria; Pseudomonadati; Pseudomonadota; Gammaproteobacteria; Vibrionales; Vibrionaceae. The record is from RNAcentral.